RNAcentral lists this long non-coding RNA (279 nucleotides) under Elaeis guineensis (African oil palm). Its description in RNAcentral is "long non-coding RNA (EGUI_LNC022429)". Lineage: Eukaryota; Viridiplantae; Streptophyta; Magnoliopsida; Arecales; Arecaceae. The record is from RNAcentral.
CAUACUGGUAUUUUAUGCAUAGAUCUAUAUUUUGGCACAUAGGGGGAGUCUCCAGUGUUUUAUAAUCAAUCGUCGGUUCAAGAAUACAUUGGCUCUUCCCUGGGAAGCGUGCUUGGCUAUUGCUUCAUUGAAUGCACAUCUUAUUUUGUAUUUUUGUUGGUGGGUGGUGGAUUUCUGUAAUUCUAUUGGAAUUAGCAAUUUGAUGUUUCAUAUAGGGCAUCUUCUUCUAUUCUCUGAAACGGCUUACUGCAUGGGUGUUCUGGUUUCAAUGGUUCCGAC